AAGAGUCUGGUGAUCAAGCAGCUAGGUGGCGUAGGAAUGAUUCUUGUUGAUGAGAUUGCCAAGGAUAUCGCAGAGUCUUACUUCCUGCCAGCAACUAAUGUUGGUGCAAAAGAAGGUGCUGUGAUUGCUACUUACCUCAACCAGACAAGGUAUAGCUCUGCCGGUCAAAAAACUUCAUCUGACGAUCCGGCUGUCCGCAUAGUUCUCCAGUUGCAACGAUCCUCCCCACAAAAACCGUGCGAAACUUUAAGCCAGCGCCUGCUGUUGCAGUCUUCUCAUCCAGAGGACCAAAUUCUGUGACACCAGAAAUCCUUAAGGUGAGGUUUAUAGCUAUGAUUAAGCUUUCUUACUGUAUGGUUUAACAGCCGGAUAUUACCGCUCCUGGAGUCAGCAUUCUAGCAGCAUGGUCACCAGUCGCGACUAAAGCUGUCGGAGGGC
Molecule: long non-coding RNA, 438 nt
Filed under: Selaginella moellendorffii
Lineage: Eukaryota; Viridiplantae; Streptophyta; Lycopodiopsida; Selaginellales; Selaginellaceae
Description: long non-coding RNA (SMOE_LNC001183)
Source: RNAcentral